CUAGUUUUAAAUAAAGCUUCCUGUUUCUUUUGUAGAAAUUCUUGCUGGUCUUCUGCUUGAUCCUUCUCUUCUCAGGGACUCUGUGUGAUGCUCGCUGUUACUUUAGACCAUCCAGCAAAUACGGGUGCCUUUCAAACAGAAACCUUUACGUUUUUGGUGCGGUGUGGAAGACUGAAGAUUGUUACCAAUGCAGGUGUAAGAUGAAUGCAAUGAUUUGCUGCAGCUUGGUUGUAAUCCCCAAGAACUACGACAGAGCAAACUGUGUUGGUCUGUUCCACAAGAAAAGCUGUUCAAUCAAAGUAGUGAAGAAGACAAACCCUGACAUAAGCUGCAAAGUCUACAAUGGAGUUGGUUAAGUCCAUGUGAUGUGUUUCUCCUCUUCUGCAUGUCCCUGGAAGUUGAAUAUGUUUUGGAUCUCUCAUUUAGAGGAAAUCAUCAAAGCAACAUGGUUUCAGAAGGAAUGGGUUCACCUCAUGCCUUUCCCAGUUCUAAUUAUGGCACGUCUGUCUGAUUUCUGACACUAGGAGGUUUGUCUUAUUAUAUAAACAUUUGUAACAAAGCUUUACCAUAGAUAAUUUUGUGACUUUAUUCCUGUUGGGAUCCAGAGUUAAA
Anas platyrhynchos (mallard) is the source of this 612-nucleotide long non-coding RNA. RefSeq lists it as uncharacterized. The record is from RefSeq and is a predicted model, not a curated record. Lineage: Eukaryota; Metazoa; Chordata; Aves; Anseriformes; Anatidae.